Molecule: non-coding RNA, 405 nt
Organism: Carica papaya (papaya)
Lineage: Eukaryota; Viridiplantae; Streptophyta; Magnoliopsida; Brassicales; Caricaceae
Source: RefSeq, a predicted model, not a curated record
CCCACGAGGAGAAUACGAGAAGACAAAACAUCACUGUCUCUGAUGGCCCACAAAUCGCGAAGGACGAGGAACACCCUAAAUAAAGAACCAAGGGAAAAGUGACUACCAAUGCUUGUAGGAUGAAUAAAAUUCCAUAAAAGAUGGAUGCCAAGAAGUAUAUGUUGGGACAGACCUUUGGCCAGAUACCAAGCCAUCCUCUCUCAAAAUUUUCAAGUUCUUCUCUGUUUGGAGGAAAUGGUCUGCAUCAUUCCACCAUUAAUAAUGCCUUCAAUAACUGGCGUGAGGAAGCCAAAGCCCAGUGUUCUUAUGAUUUUAGAAUGAGGUCUGGCCACAAUAAGGGGCAGCAUGCAUCUGAAGUUGCUACUUUUCUCAAUAAGAAACCAUUCGUUGAUGCUGCUUCUAAGG